AAUACCCUAUUAUUUUAAAAGUAAAUAAUUAAGCCUAAUUAGUAAAAGUUAAGUUCUUAAAAAUUAAAGAAUCUGGCGGUAUUUUAGUCUAUUCAGAGGAAUCUGUCCUAUAAUUGAUAAUCCACGAUUUUUUAUACCUAUUUUAUUAAUUUACAUAUCGCCGUAGUUUGAAUAUUUUUUGAAAAUUAUAAUAUUCAUAAUUUAUUUAAUAAAAAAAAUCAGGUCAAGGUGUAGUUUAUAGAUAGGAAGAGAUGGGUUACAAUAAAAGUAUUUAUUAUGGAUUAAUUAAUUAAAUUUUUUUAUGAAGGUGGAUUUGAAAGUAAUUUUAUUUA
This 332-nucleotide ribosomal RNA is filed under the name Laparocerus alluaudi alluaudi. Its description in RNAcentral is "partial 12S ribosomal RNA". The record is from RNAcentral. Lineage: Eukaryota; Metazoa; Arthropoda; Insecta; Coleoptera; Curculionidae.